UUCCUGAUAUGCAGACUAAUUUAUCUUGUGGUGUUUAGUUUACAGAUGGAGUCAGUGUUCCAGUUUGUUGGGAUGCAAAUGAAACAUUAGACCAGGGCAGAUAAGGAGAAAUGAGAAGGAAAUACAAGCAAAUUAGCCAAUGAUAUCUUAAUGAAUGUUUUGUGAUCUAACUCUUUGCAGAAAACACGAUUGACUGCUGACAGGACUCACCAGUAAAGCCAGACACAACUGAAGGCAUUCAGAUGAUCAACACAAGUGGCUCCACUGUGACAGGGAUCACUAAGACACUCAUCCACCUCAAUCUCACAGUUAUUACCUGGAAACACGAAGGAUUCACUUUAUUAGGAACAUGCCACUGGUUGUUUCAUCUAAAUGGAUGCCUACAUUAGGAUGCAGAGCAGCAAUUUAAGAGAUGCUGGAGGCUCCACAUGGUUGUGACAAGCAGGCAGUAAUAUUUACUUCACAAAACUGACCAGUAAAACCUGAUGAAAAAUAAAGCAGAAGACAUAAAGACUUUAUUAUGAGAGUUAGUACAAGA
Molecule: long non-coding RNA, 538 nt
Organism: Cygnus olor (mute swan)
Lineage: Eukaryota; Metazoa; Chordata; Aves; Anseriformes; Anatidae
Exons: 4
Source: RefSeq, a predicted model, not a curated record